GGUUAAGCGACUAAGCGUACACGGUGGAUGCCCUGGCAGUCAGAGGCGAUGAAGGACGUGCUAAUCUGCGAAAAGCGUCGGUAAGGUGAUAUGAACCGUUACAGCCGGCGAUGUCCGAAUGGGGAAACCCAGUGUGAUUCGUCACACUAUCGUUAACUGAAUACAUAGGUUAACGAGGCGAACCGGGGGAACUGAAACAUCUAAGUACCCCGAGGAAAAGAAAUCAACCGAGAUUCCCCCAGUAGCGGCGAGCGAACGGGGAGCAGCCCAGAGUCUGAAUCAGCUUGUGUGUUAGUGGAACGGUCUGGAAAGUCCGACGGUACAGGGUGAUAGUCCCGUACACCAAAAUGCACAGGCUGUGAACUCGAAGAGUAGGGCGGGACACGUGGUAUCCUGUCUGAAUAUGGGGGGACCAUCCUCCAAGGCUAAAUACUCCUGACUGACCGAUAGUGAACCAGUACCGUGAGGGAAAGGCGAAAAGAACCCCGGCGAGGGGAGUGAAAAAGAACCUGAAACCGUGUACGUACAAGCAGUGGGAGCACCUUCGGGUGUGACUGCGUACCUUUUGUAUAAUGGGUCAGCGACUUAUAUUCUGUAGCAAGGUUAACCGUAUAGGGGAGCCGCAGGGAAACCGAGUCUUAACUGGGCGUUAAGUUGCAGGGUAUAGACCCGAAACCCGGUGAUCUAGCCAUGGGCAGGUUGAAGGUUGGGUAACACUAACUGGAGGACCGAACCGACUAAUGUUGAAAAAUUAGCGGAUGACUUGUGGCUGGGGGUGAAAGGCCAAUCAAACCGGGAGAUAGCUGGUUCUCCCCGAAAGCUAUUUAGGUAGCGCCUCGUGAAUUCAUCUUCGGGGGUAGAGCACUGUUUCGGCUAGGGGGUCAUCCCGACUUACCAACCCGAUGCAAACUACGAAUACCGAAGAAUGUUAUCACGGGAGACACACGGCGGGUGCUAACGUCCGUCGUGAAGAGGGAAACAACCCAGACCGCCAGCUAAGGUCCCAAAGUCAUGGUUAAGUGGGAAACGAUGUGGGAAGGCACAGACAGCCAGGAUGUUGGCUUAGAAGCAGCCAUCAUUUAAAGAAAGCGUAAUAGCUCACUGGUCGAGUCGGCCUGCGCGGAAGAUGUAACGGGGCUAAACCAUGCACCGAAGCUGCGGCAGCGACACUAUGUGUUGUUGGGUAGGGGAGCGUUCUGUAAGCCUGCGAAGGUGACCUGUGAGGGUUGCUGGAGGUAUCAGAAGUGCGAAUGCUGACAUAAGUAACGAUAAAGCGGGUGAAAAGCCCGCUCGCCGGAAGACCAAGGGUUCCUGUCCAACGUUAAUCGGGGCAGGGUGAGUCGACCCCUAAGGCGAGGCCGAAAGGCGUAGUCGAUGGGAAACAGGUUAAUAUUCCUGUACUUGGUGUUACUGCGAAGGGGGGACGGAGAAGGCUAUGUUAGCCGGGCGACGGUUGUCCCGGUUUAAGCAUGUAGGCUGGUUAUCCAGGCAAAUCCGGAUAAUCAAGGCUGAGGUGUGAUGACGAGGCACUACGGUGCUGAAGUAACAAAUGCCCUGCUUCCAGGAAAAGCCUCUAAGCAUCAGGUAACAUUAAAUCGUACCCCAAACCGACACAGGUAGUCAGGUAGAGAAUACCAAGGCGCUUGAGAGAACUCGGGUGAAGGAACUAGGCAAAAUGGUGCCGUAACUUCGGGAGAAGGCACGCUGGUGUGUAGGUGAAGUCCCUGCGGAUGGAGCUGAGACCAGUCGAAGAUACCAGCUGGCUGCAACUGUUUAUUAAAAACACAGCACUGUGCAAACACGAAAGUGGACGUAUACGGUGUGACGCCUGCCCGGUGCCGGAAGGUUAAUUGAUGGGGUUAUCCGUAAGGAGAAGCUCUUGAUCGAAGCCCCGGUAAACGGCGGCCGUAACUAUAACGGUCCUAAGGUAGCGAAAUUCCUUGUCGGGUAAGUUCCGACCUGCACGAAUGGCGUAAUGAUGGCCAGGCUGUCUCCACCCGAGACUCAGUGAAAUUGAACUCGCUGUGAAGAUGCAGUGUACCCGCGGCAAGACGGAAAGACCCCGUGAACCUUUACUAUAGCUUGACACUGAACAUUGAGCCUUGAUGUGUAGGAUAGGUGGGAGGCUUUGAAGCGUGGACGCCAGUCUGCGUGGAGCCGACCUUGAAAUACCACCCUUUAAUGUUUGAUGUUCUAACGUUGGCCCCUUACCGGGGUUGCGGACAGUGUCUGGUGGGUAGUUUGACUGGGGCGGUCUCCUCCCAAAGCGUAACGGAGGAGCACGAAGGUUAGCUAAUCCUGGUCGGACAUCAGGAGGUUAGUGCAAUGGCAUAAGCUAGCUUGACUGCGAGCGUGACGGCGCGAGCAGGUGCGAAAGCAGGUCAUAGUGAUCCGGUGGUUCUGAAUGGAAGGGCCAUCGCUCAACGGAUAAAAGGUACUCCGGGGAUAACAGGCUGAUACCGCCCAAGAGUUCAUAUCGACGGCGGUGUUUGGCACCUCGAUGUCGGCUCAUCACAUCCUGGGGCUGAAGUAGGUCCCAAGGGUAUGGCUGUUCGCCAUUUAAAGUGGUACGCGAGCUGGGUUUAGAACGUCGUGAGACAGUUCGGUCCCUAUCUGCCGUGGGCGCUGGAGAAUUGAGGGGGGCUGCUCCUAGUACGAGAGGACCGGAGUGGACGCAUCACUGGUGUUCGGGUUGUCAUGCCAAUGGCACUGCCCGGUAGCUAAAUGCGGAAGAGAUAAGUGCUGAAAGCAUCUAAGCACGAAACUUGCCCCGAGAUGAGUUCUCCCUGAGACUUUAAGUCUCCUGAAGGAACGUUGAAGACGACGACGUUGAUAGGCCGGGUGUGUAAGCGCAGCGAUGCGUUGAGCUAACCGGUACUAAUGAACCGUGAGGCUUAACCUU
RNAcentral lists this ribosomal RNA (2902 nucleotides) under Klebsiella pneumoniae. Its description in RNAcentral is "23S ribosomal RNA". It matches the Rfam family "Bacterial large subunit ribosomal RNA". The record is from RNAcentral. Lineage: Bacteria; Pseudomonadati; Pseudomonadota; Gammaproteobacteria; Enterobacterales; Enterobacteriaceae.